This 180-nucleotide ribosomal RNA is filed under the name uncultured Glomeromycotina. RNAcentral's name for it is "partial small subunit ribosomal RNA". The record is from RNAcentral. Lineage: Eukaryota; Fungi; Glomeromycota.
GGCCUGGCUGGGCGGUCCGCCUCACGGCGUGUACUGUCUGGCUGGGUCUUACCUCUUGGUGAGCCGGCGUGCCCUUUAUUGGUGUGCGUCGGGGAACCAGGACUUUUACCUUGAGAAAAUUAGAGUGUUCAAAGCAGGCCUGUGCCCGAAUACAUUAGCAUGGAAUAAUAAAAUAGGACG